CCUUCACCAGCAUGCUGGAGGGAGCUGCGGGGACACCAGAGGGGACACCAGAGGGGACGCUGCCGGCCGGGUCCGGACCGGCCGAGAGCCCCGGGGUGUCCCCGCGGCACAGCCUGGGGCACCCAGGCGUGCGCCGAGCGGAGCCGGGCUGCUCGCCCUGCCCACAGCCACGGCAGCAGGGCUCCCCACAGCUCAGAGGGAACUCCUGCCUUCCUGCGGGGAAUUUUGGGGGAUUUUGGGGAAUUUUUUUGGGGAAUUCUGGGGAAUUCUGGGGAAUUUUAUGGGGAAUUUUGGUGAAUUCUGGGGAAUUUUUUUGGGAAUUUUUUUGGGAAUGUUGGGGAAUUCUGGGGGAAUUUUUGGAGGAAUUUUGGGGAUUUUGGAGGAAUUUUUGGGAAUUCUGGGGAACGUGGGGAAUUUUUGGGGGAACUUUUUGGGGAAUUUUUGGGAAUUCUGGGGAAUGUGGGGAAUCUUCUGGGUAAUUUUGGGGAGUUUGGGGAAACGUUGGGAAUCUUUUGGGGGGUUUUGGGGAUUUUUGGGUAAUUUUCUGGGUAAUUUUGGGGGAAUUCUGGGGAAUGUGGGGAAUUUUUUGGGGGGAAUUUAGGAGAAUUCUGGGGAAUGCGGGGAAUCUUUUGGGUAAUUUUGGGGAAUUUGGGGGAUGUUGGGGAUUCUGGGGAAUGUGAGGGGCGCGGUCAGCCCUGCGCACAGCCAGCAGGAGGGAACGGAGCGUUGUCCUGGGGCAGCUGUGUCCCCGUGUCCCCGCCGAGCAGCAGCCCAGGAGCCGUGUCCGGAAGGUUCCUGCGCCGCCGGCGGGCACACGGGCACGGAGCUCCCGGGAAAAACACCCCUCUGUCUUGGGGCUCCCACGCCCCACUGCCCGCCGUGCUCCUUCCGGAGCAGAACAAAACAGGCCAGAGCCCAACCCUGCUGCCAGAGCAGGAGCAGGGCAGGGGAACGCUCACGGCGUGUCCAGACACUGGCAUGAGAUCAUGAAAUUAUAUAGUAAUAAUAAUAAUAAUAAUAAUAAUAAUAAUAAUAAUAAUAAUAAUAAUAAUAAUAAUAAUAAUAAUAAAAUAAUAAAAAUAAUAAAAAUAAUAAAAAUA
Molecule: long non-coding RNA, 1100 nt
Filed under: Cyanistes caeruleus (blue tit)
Lineage: Eukaryota; Metazoa; Chordata; Aves; Passeriformes; Paridae
Description: lncRNA (ENSCCEG00000019447.1)
Source: RNAcentral